Molecule: ribosomal RNA, 399 nt
Filed under: Bacillus sp. SS1(2012)
Lineage: Bacteria; Bacillati; Bacillota; Bacilli; Caryophanales; Bacillaceae
Description: bacterial SSU rRNA
Rfam family: Bacterial small subunit ribosomal RNA
Source: RNAcentral
UGGGCGUAAGGGCUCGCAGGCGGUUUCUUAGUCUGAUGUGAAAGCCCCCGGCUCAACCGGGGAGGGUCAUUGGAAACUGGGAAACUUGAGUGCAGAAGAGGAGAGUGGAAUUCCACGUGUAGCGGUGAAAUGCGUAGAGAUGUGGAGGAACACCAGUGGCGAAGGCGACUCUCUGGUCUGUAACUGACGCUGAGGAGCGAAAGCGUGGGGAGCGAACAGGAUUAGAUACCCUGGUAGUCCACGCCGUAAACGAUGAGUGCUAAKUGUUAGGGGGUUUCCGCCCCUUAGUGCUGCAGCUAACGCAUUAAGCACUCCGCCUGGSGAGUACGGUCGCAAGACUGAUACUCAAAGGAAUUGACRGGSGCCCGCMCAAGCGGGGGAUCCCUGGGGGUUUCAUAC